UGUGGAUUUCAUGGGGGUGAAGACCCCGUUUUGAACGACAUCUGUCUGGCUGGCAAUGCCCUAGGUUCUUGCCCAGAAGGACAGCUUGGGCCGGCGCGAUGCUGAAGCCGCGGAAAAGGACGUACUGGUGCUUCCCCUUCAGGACCUUCAGCUUAGCUAAGUGUGAAAAAAAAAAGUGACACCAGCAUUCAAUAAUAAUAAUACCAGUAAUAGUAAUCAUAAUAAAAAGAAAGUGUCGGCAGGUGGUCAGAGGGGUCUUGCCAGUCAGCGACCUUCUCUCUUGUGUUCCUGGUGUUUCUAAUAACAUUAACAAUGUAUUCUAGCCCUUUCUUGUGUUCUGGUGUUUCUAGUAACAUUAACAAUGUACUCUAGUCGACAGAGCCGCAGGCCAGGAACUAGGAGAGAAAGUAGGCAGCAACCUCUGACUUGCCGCUUAAUGGUCUGCUUUGGGUAAACCACUUAAACUCUGAAAACUUGUAUUCCCCACCCCAUGCCUGCACAGUCUGAUGGCGGGGCUUCCCUUCCACCACUAAGAUUUUAGGGUCUGUGCCCUCCAUACUUACUUUGUCUUUUGCUCCGAGCAUCGGGCCGGAGAGGAUUUUCUGAAGAUUUCAUUCUCCCCUUCAUGGAUGGUUUGGCCCAGCAUCCAGCCAAUCAGAAGAAGGAAUUGCCUGGGGCUAAUUGAGGAUAUUCCCCCCCCCCCCGCCCCCAGGACAGGAAGAGGUGGGUCAGUAGGAGACUGAGAGGUGAAGGUGAGUCAACCUGUUUUAAGUUUGUCAUCCCUGAUGAAAAAAAAAAAAAAUAAGAUCGUGUCUUUGCUAGGAUGUGAGUGCUAACGCUCAGGGGAGAUGGCUGUGUUCUGUACCCAGCUGGUGCCAGGUUUGGGUGUUGGGAGUACGUCGGCAGUGUUCUCUCCUUUUCCACGAGGAGGCUACGCUGUGAGGCAGCUGGGAGGUGAGAUCCCCACACCUCUUCUUUCGCUGGCAGGCUGUGUUGUAAGUGGGCUGACUUCCUUAGUCAGCCUGGAGGCUGCCCCCGUGAGCCGCGCCCACUCUCAGGCACGUUUAAGGUGAUGGAGACUUGUCAUCCUGAAACUUGGUUUGCAGCUGUUCAGAAGUCCCACAAGAUUUCCCAGGAGCAUCAAUCAAGGAAGUCUCUCCACACUCCGGACCUCGUCGUUUUUUAUUUGGGACCGUCCAAGGAGCUGGAAAGAGCUGGACCCAUGGGUCACCUUGCCAUCAUGCAGGACCAUCUACAUAAUUUGGGGAGUCCAGUGCAAGAUGAAAUGUGGGGUCCUUUGUUCAAAACUUCUCCAGAAUAGCACCAAAAAGCCCUGAACCAAGCAAGGGGCUCUUUUCACAAGGUCUGUAUGAGUGCCUGUGUCUCACACACGCAAA
Molecule: long non-coding RNA, 1397 nt
Organism: Lutra lutra (Eurasian river otter)
Lineage: Eukaryota; Metazoa; Chordata; Mammalia; Carnivora; Mustelidae
Exons: 3
Source: RefSeq, a predicted model, not a curated record